RNAcentral lists this ribosomal RNA (376 nucleotides) under Anguispira alabama. RNAcentral's name for it is "partial 16S ribosomal RNA". The record is from RNAcentral. Lineage: Eukaryota; Metazoa; Mollusca; Gastropoda; Stylommatophora; Discidae.
AUUGGCCUUUAAUUGUGGUCUGGUAUGAACGGAAACAUAUGUAGUUUCUGUCUCAUUUGUACUGUUGGUAACUUGCUUAGUAGGUGAAAAUUCCUAUAAGUUUAAUUGUAGGACGAUAAGACCCUUAGAAUUAUUAAUAAGUGAACACAUAAUGUGUUAUUCUUUUUUGUUGGGGCGACAUAUUCUCAAGUAACAUAAUUAAUAUAAAAAUCACAGGUCUAAUAUAAUUAGGAUGAUUUAAUUACCUAAGGGAUAACAGCAUAAUAUUAUUAUAUGUUUAUGACCUCGAUGUUGGACUAGGUAUAUUUAUUAAUUAGAAGUUAUAAAUAUUUGUUCUGUUCGAACAGUAACACCUACAUGAUCUGAGUUCAGACCG